CCAGUACACCCAAGCAAAGAGACCUUUAGUUUGAAACCCCGAAACCAGGUGAGCUACCCCGAGACAGCCUAUUAAGGGCCAACCCGUCUCUGUGGCAAAAGAGUGGGAAGAGCUCCGGGUAGAAGUGACAGACCUACCGAACCUGGUGAUAGCUGGUUGCCUAAGAAAUGAAUAGAAGUUCAGCCUCGUGCACCUCAAAUCACACAAACAAAACAAGACUAAGAGAAACACAUGAGAGUUAGUUAAAGGGGGUACAGCCCCUUUAACAAAGGACACAACCUUUCCAGGAGGAUAAAGAUCAUAAUACAUAAAACAUACUGUUCUAGUGG
This 329-nucleotide ribosomal RNA is filed under the name Cyprinus carpio (common carp). Its description in RNAcentral is "partial 16S ribosomal RNA". It matches the Rfam family "Bacterial large subunit ribosomal RNA", at positions 668 to 1084 of the family's 2925-position model. The record is from RNAcentral. Lineage: Eukaryota; Metazoa; Chordata; Actinopteri; Cypriniformes; Cyprinidae.